GUACACUCCUGCGGGAGGCAGCAGUGGGGAAUAUUGCACAAUGGGCGCAAGCCUGAUGCAGCCAUGCCGCGUGUAUGAAGAAGGCCUUCGGGUUGUAAAGUACUUUCAGCGGGGAGGAAGGCGAUAAGGUUAAUAACCUUGUCGAUUGACGUUACCCGCAGAAGAAGCACCGGCUAACUCCGUGCCAGCAGCCGCGGUAAUACGGAGGGUGCAAGCGUUAAUCGGAAUUACUGGGCGUAAAGCGCACGCAGGCGGUCUGUCAAGUCGGAUGUGAAAUCCCCGGGCUCAACCUGGGAACUGCAUUCGAAACUGGCAGGCUAGAGUCUUGUAGAGGGGGGUAGAAUUCCAGGUGUAGCGGUGAAAUGCGUAGAGAUCUGGUGGAAUACCGGUGGCGAAGGCGACCCCCUGGACAAAGACUGACGCUCAGGUGCGAAAGCGUGGGGAGCAAACAGGAUUAGAUACCCGAGUAGUCCCAUGA
RNAcentral lists this ribosomal RNA (478 nucleotides) under uncultured organism. RNAcentral describes it as "partial 16S ribosomal RNA". It matches the Rfam family "Bacterial small subunit ribosomal RNA", at positions 331 to 800 of the family's 1533-position model. The record is from RNAcentral.